GACGAACGCUGGCGGCGUGCUUAACACAUGCAAGUCGAACGGAAAGGCCUGCUUUCCCUUGUGGAUUGCGGGUACUCGAGUGGCGAACGGGUGAGUAACACGUGAGUGAUCUGCCCCCAACUUGGGUAUAAGCCUGGGAAACUGGGUCUAAUUCCCGAUAGGACUGCAGGGUGGUGCCUGUGGUGGAAAACGAUUUUCUAGUGGUUGGGGAUGAGCUCGCGGCCUAUCAGCUUGUUGGUGGGGGAAUGGCCUACCAAGGCGGCGACGGGUAGCCGGCCUGGGAGGGUGGGCGGCCGCAUUUGGACUGAGAUACGGCCCCGACUCCUACGUGCGGCAGCAGUGGGGAAUCUUGCGCGAUGGGCGGAAGCCUGAUGCAGCGACGCCGCGUGGGGGAUGACGGCCUUCGGGUGGUAACCUCCUUUCGACCGCGAGGAAGCCACCUGGUUGGAAGGGUGGUGACGGUAGUGGUAGAAGAAGCACCGGCUAACUACGUG
Molecule: ribosomal RNA, 494 nt
Filed under: uncultured bacterium
Lineage: Bacteria
Description: partial 16S ribosomal RNA
Rfam family: Bacterial small subunit ribosomal RNA
Source: RNAcentral